This 742-nucleotide ribosomal RNA is filed under the name uncultured Pseudomonadota bacterium. RNAcentral's name for it is "bacterial SSU rRNA". It matches the Rfam family "Bacterial small subunit ribosomal RNA", at positions 61 to 776 of the family's 1533-position model. The record is from RNAcentral. Lineage: Bacteria; Pseudomonadati; Pseudomonadota.
UUCGCACGAGAAAGGGGUCGCAAGACCCCCGGUACAGUGGCGAACGGGUGAGUAACACGUGGGUAACCUGCCCCUGGAUUCGGAAUAACCUGCCGAAAGGCGGGCUAAUACCGGAUGACAUCGCGUGAUCUUCGGACCAUGCGAUCAAAGCUGACCUCUUCAUGAAAGUUGGCGUCUGGGGAGGGGCCCGCGGCCCAUUAGCUAGUUGGUGAGGUAACGGCUCACCAAGGCUCCGAUGGGUAGCCGGCCUGAGAGGGCGACCGGCCACAGUGGAACUGAGACACGGUCCACACUUCUACGGGAGGCAGCAGUGAGGAAUCUUGCGCAAUGGGGGAAACCCUGACGCAGCGACGCCGCGUGGACGAUGAAGGCCUUCGGGUCGUAAAGUCCUGUCGGGUGGGAAGAAAAGGCCUGUGGCUAAUAUCCACAGGUCUCGACUGUACCACCAGAGGAAGCCCCGGCUAACUCCGUGCCAGCAGCCGCGGUAAUACGGAGGGGGCCAGCGUUGCUCGGAAUUAUUGGGCGUAAAGGGCGCGUAGGCGGCUUGGUAAGUUUGAUGUGAAAUCCCAUGGCUCAACCAUGGAACUGCAUCUCAUACUGCCGAGCUAGAGUCUGGGAGAGGAAGCGGAAUUCCCGGUGUAGCGGUGAAAUGCGUAAAUUUCGGGGAGGAACACCAGUGGCGAAGGCGGCUUCCUGGACCAGCACUGACGCUGAUGCGCGAAAGCUAGGGGGAGCAAACAGG